This 24-nucleotide non-coding RNA is filed under the name Arabidopsis thaliana (thale cress). Lineage: Eukaryota; Viridiplantae; Streptophyta; Magnoliopsida; Brassicales; Brassicaceae. The record is from RNAcentral.
GCGGUGACUCAUAGGUCGGCUCGC